This 5378-nucleotide long non-coding RNA is filed under the name Sus scrofa (pig). RNAcentral's name for it is "lncRNA (ENSSSCG00000061785.1)". Lineage: Eukaryota; Metazoa; Chordata; Mammalia; Artiodactyla; Suidae. The record is from RNAcentral.
ACUUUUUAAAAACCUCUCAAACUUUUCCAAAGUGGUUGCACUAUUAUGUAUGAAGGUUCCAUUUUCUUCAUAUCUUCUCCAGUGCUUGGUGUGGUGAGGCUUUAUAAUCUGAAUUGUUUUAGUAACUGUUAAAUGGUUUCUCAUUUUGGUUGUAACCUGCACUUCCCUAAUGACUGAUGAUGUUGGACCUUGUUUCCUGUGCUUCAUUGUCAUCAUUCUUAUCUUUGGUGAAGUACCUGUUUACUAGUUUUGCCCAUCUAAAAAAUUGGGUUGUGUUACUUAUUUAUUUAUUUAUUUUUUGCUUUUGUCUUUUUAGGGCUGCACCUAUGGCACAUGAUGUUCCCAGGCUAGGGGUCAAAAUCGGAGCUGUAGCUGCCUGCCUACGCCAGGGCCACAGCAACGCCAGAUCUGAGCUGUGUCUGCAACCUACACCACAGCCCACGGCAAUGCUGGAUCCUUAACCCACUGAGCGAGGCUGGGGAUCAAACCCGCAAUCUCAUGGUUCCUAGUCAGAUUUGUUUCUGCUGCACCAUGACGGGAACUCUGGGUUGUUGUCUUUUAAUGUUGAGUUUCAAGAGCUCUCUCAUCAGAUGUAUGUUUUGGAAAGAUCUUGUCUCCGUCUGUGGCUGCUUUCAUGCAUUUAAAAAAAAAACCUUUUUUUUGUAAUUGAUUUACAAUGUUCUGUCAAUUGCUGCUGUAUAGCAGAGUGACCCCGUUAUAUAUACAUUUUUUUUCACAUUAUCCUCCAUCAUGUUCCAUCACAAGGGAUCAGAUAGAGUUCCCUGUGCUAUGCAGCAGAAUCUCAUUGUUUAUCCACUCCAAAUGCAGUAGUUUGCACCUACUAACCCCAAACUCCCAGUCCGUCCUCCUCCCUCCCCCUCGGCAACCACAAGUCUGUUCUCCAUGUCCAUGAAGUUUGUUUCUUUUCUGUAAGUGGUUCAUUUGUGCUGUAUAUUAGAUUCCAGAUAUAAGUGAUACCAUAUGGUCUUUGUCUUUCUCCUUCUGACUUACUUCACUUAGUAUCAGAGUCUAUAUAUAGUUCCAUCCAUGUUGCUGCAAAUGCCAUUAUUUUGUUCUCUUUUUUAUGGCUGAGUAGUACUCCAUUGUGUGUACAUCUUCUUAAUCCGUUUAUCUGUCAGUGGAUGUGUACAUCUUCUUAAUCCGUUUAUCUGUCAAUGGACAUUUCCAUUUCCAUGUCUUGGCUAUUGUGAAUUGUGCUACAGUUAACAUAGGGGUGCAUAUAUCUUUUUCAAUUAUAGUUUUGUUUAUAGUGAAUUGCGCCACAACGGAAACUCCAAUCAUAUGGUAGUUCUAUAUUUAGUUUUCUGAGGUGCCUCCAUACUGUUUUCCAUAGUGGUUGCACCAAUUUAUAUUCCCACCAACAGUGCAGGAGGGUUCCCUUUUCUCCCUCUCUCUCCAGUGUUUGUCAUUUGUAGUCUUUUUUUUUUUUUUCCUUUUAGGGCCACACUCACAGCAUAUGGAGGUUCCCAGGCUAGGGGUUGAAUCAGAGCUACAGCUCCUACCCUAUACCACAGCCAUAGCACGUAGGAUCUGAGCUGAGUCUGUGACCUACACCACAUCUUAUGACAAUGCUGAAUCCCUGACCCACUGAGCAAGGCCAGGGAUCGAACUGGCAUCCUUAUGGAUACUAGUUGGAUUCAUUUCCACUGCACCAUGACAGGAACUCCUUUUAUUUGUAGUUUUAUUAAUGAUAGCCAUUCUGACUAGUGUGAGGUGGUACCUCAGUGUAGUUUUGAUUUGCAUUUCCCUAAUAAUCAGUGAUGUUGAGUUUUUCAUGUGCUUGUUGGCCAUCCCUAUGUCUUCUUUGGAGAAAUGUCUGUUUAGGUCUUCUUCCCAGUUUUCAAUUGGAUUGUUUCUUUUUUUGCUUCUAAGUUGUAUGAGUUAUUUGUAUAUUUUUAGAGAUUAAGCCUUUGUCAGUUGCUUCAUUUGCAACUGUUUUCUCCCAUUUUGUAGGCUGUCCUUUGUUUGUUUGUUUCUAGCUGUGGCCUUCUCUUUUCUGCCUAGAGGUUCCUUUAGUAUUUGUUGUAAAGCUGGUUUAGCGUUACUGAAUUCUCUUAGCUUUUGCUUGUCUGUAAAGCUUUUGAUUUCUCCUUCAAAUCUAAAUGAGAGCCUUGCUGGGUAAAGUAAUCUUGGUUGGAGGUUUUUCCUUUCAUCAUGUUAAGUAUAUCAUUCCACUCCCUUCUGGGCUGCAGAAUUUCUGCUGAAAAAUCUGCUGAUAACCUGAUCGGAGUUUCCUUGUAUGUUAUUUAUUUCUUUUCCCUAACUGCUUUCAGUGUUUUCUCUUUGUCUUUAAUUUUGGUCAGUUUGAUUAAUAUGCGUCUUAGGGUGUUCCUCCUUGGGUUUAUUUUAUAUGGUAGUCAUUGCACUUCCUGGAUUUGAGUGGUUCCUUUCCAAUGUUAGGGAUGUUUUCGGCUAUUAUCUCUUCGAAUAUUUUUCUGUCCCUUUCUCUCUCAUCUCCUUCUGGCACCCAUAAUAUAGAUGUUGGUGUGUUUAACAUUGUUCCAGAGUUCUCUGAGACUCUCUUCAUUUGUUUUCAAUCUUUUUUCUCUUUUCUGUUCUGCAUCCAUAAUUUCCACUAAUCUGUCCUCCACCUCACUUAUUUGUUCUUCUGCCUCCUGUAUUCUACUGUUGGCUGCUUCUAAUGCAUUUUUUAUUUCAGUUAUUGUAUUUUGCAUCUCUUCUUAAGUUUUUUAUCUUGUAUCUCUUUGCUCAGUGUUUCCUGUAAAUUACCCAUCUUUGCCUCCAGCUUAUUUCCAAUGAUUUGCAUCAUCUUCAGCAUCAACAGUCUAAAGUCUUUUUCCUGGAGGCUGAGAAUCUCCUGAUCACUUAGCUGUUUUUCUGGGUUUUUUUCUUUCUCCCUUAUCUGAGUUACAGUUCUCUGUCUUUUCAUUUUUAUAGGUUUUUGUCAUGGUGACCUUUUUUGCAGAGUUGUAGCCUCUUACCUCUGGUAUCUGCCCCCCUUGUAGCUGAAGUUGGUACGGGGGCUGCUGUAGGUUUCCUGAUGGGAGGGACUGGUGCCUGCCCACUGGUAGGUGGGGCCGAUUCCUAUCCCUCUGGUGGGUGGGCCUUAGUCUCUAGAUGAGAUUGGAGGGCUGUGUGCCUGGGGGGUCUUUAGGCAGCCUGUUUGCUGAUGGGUGGGGCUGUGAUCCCACCUAGAUUUUUUUUUUUUUUUUUUUUUUGCUAUUUCUUUGGGCCACUCCUGUGGCAUAUGGAGGUUACCAGGCUAGGGGUCGAAUCGGAGCUGUAGCCGCUGGCCUACGCCAGAACCACAGCAACGCACGAUCCGAGCCGCGUCUGCAACCUACACCACAGCUCACGGCAACGCCAGAUCGUUAACCCACUGAGCAAGGGCAGGGACCGAACCCGAAACCUCAUGGUUCCUAGUUGGAUUCGUUAACCACUGCGCCACGACGGAACUCCUAGAUUGUUGUUUGGCCUGGGGCUUCUUGUCACUGAUGGGUAGGGCCAGAUAUUCCCAAAAUGGCCACCUUCAGAGAAAUGCAUGCUGAUGAAUAUUCCCAGAAGCUUUGCCUCCAAUGCCCUUCCCCAACAACAAGCCACAGUCACCCCCUGUUUUCUCAGAAGGUCCACCAAGAAUUGCAGUCAGGUCCAACCCAGAUAUCUAGGGAAUCUCUGCUUUGCCCUGGGACCCAGUGCACUUGAAAGUCUAUGUGCACCUUUCAAGAAUGGGGUCUCCAUUUCCCCCAGCCGCUCUCCAUUUCCCCCAGAGUUCCUGCAGACAAGCCCCACUGGCCUUCAAUGCCAGAUGCUCAGGGGGCUCUUUCUCCCAGUGCCAGAUCCCCAGGCGUGGGGACUUGAUGUGGGGCUCAGAACUCUCACUCCUGUAGGUGAGUCUCUGUGAUAUGGUUAGUUUCCAGUCUGUGGGUCUUCCCACCUGGGAGGUAUGGGGUUGCUUAUGUCAUGUAAUAGCCCUACUACUUCUUGAUGUGGCCACCUUUUUGUCUUCUGGAGUAGGAUAUCUUUUUGAAAGUUUCUAGUCCAUUUGGUUGAAGGUUGCUCAGCGUUUGGUUAUAAUUUUGUUGUUUUUAGGAGAGAGGUUGAGCUCCAGUCCUUCUAUUCUAUUCUGCCAUCUUAAUCCCAUCCCUGGUUGUCUUUUUUUUUUUUUUUUUUUUUUUAAUGGUUUCCUUUUCUGUGCAAAAGCUUGUCAGUUUGAUUAGGUCCCAUUCAUUUAUUUUUGUUUUUAUUUCUAUUGCUUUGGGAGACUGACCUGAGAAAGGCUGAUGUCAGAGAAUGCUUUGCCCAUGUUCUCUUAUAGGAGUUUUAUGGCAUCUUGUCCUAUGUUUAAGUCUUUGAGCCAUUUUGAGUUCAUUUUUGUGCACGGUGUGAGAGUGUGUUCUAUUUUCAUUGAUUUGCAUGCAGCUGUCCGGGUUUCCCAGCACUACUUGCUGAAGAGACUGUCUUUCCCAUUUUAUGUUCUUGGCUCCUUUGUUGAAGACUAAUUGAUGGUAGGUGUCUGGAUUUAUUUCUGGGUUCUCUGUUAUGUUCUUUUGGUCUGUAUGUCUGUUUUGGUACUGGUACCACACUGUCUUGAUUACUGUGGCUUGGUAAAAUUGCCUGAAGUCUGGGAGAGUUAUGCCUCCUGCUUGGUUUUUGUUCCUCAGGAUUGCUGUGGCAAUUCUAGGCCUUUUAUGGUUCUGAGUAAAUUUUUAGAUCAUUUGUUCUAGUUCUGUGAAAAAUGUCAUGUGUGAUUUGAUAGGGAUCACGUUGAAUCUGUAGAUUGCUUUGUGUAGUAUGGCCAUUUGAACAAUAUGAAUUCUUCUAAUCCAGGAACAUGGAAUAUUUUUCCAUUUCUUUGAAUCUUCUUCAUUUGCCUUGAUUAAUGUUUUAUAGUUCUCAGCAUAUAAAUCUUUCAGCUCCUUAGCCAGGUUUAUUCCUAGGUAUUUAUUUUGGGGGUUGCUUUUUAAAAGGUACUGUAUUGGAGUUCCUGUCUGUCUUCGAUGAGCAGAGAUUUAAUUUAAUGAAAUCCUGUUGGUCUUUGGAUUGUGCUAUUGCUGCUCUAAGACAUCUUAAUCUAACCCAAAAUGAUAAAGGUUUUCUCCUGCAAGAUUAAAGCUCUAGGUUUUAUAUUACAUCUGAACUAUUUUGGCUCUGUGUGUAUCUAUAUGGUCCCAUAACUUUAAGUUCUUUUUUUUUUUUUUUGCAUAUAACUAUCCUGUUGUUGAGCACCAUUAGCUGAAAAGCUAAACUUUCUCUGCUUCAGUGCCUUUGUACCUUUGUCAAAAAUCGAUUGAUCACAGCUUUGUCACUGCAGUGGCCCAAGUUCAAUCCCUGGCCCAGGAACUUUUGCAUGCCUUUGGUGCAGCAUUUGGGAGUGCUCCUUCUUCUUUAGCCUUUUC